GGGUUCGGGAAGUGAGAAAGUGAGCUACGAGUGUCAUGAGCCCACAAAAUCUUAGAAAAAUCUUCAACAUUCUUUCAAGUACAUCUGUUGAUGAUUCAGAGUAUCCAAAAAAUUGACAGACAUCGAUCGAAGGAGUUCGAUCAGCAUCGGCCGUCAAAAAGGCUCUACAACGAGCUAGCACUCGUGAGGAGUCGAUCAGAUCAGGAACUUCAUG
Molecule: long non-coding RNA, 214 nt
Filed under: Elaeis guineensis (African oil palm)
Lineage: Eukaryota; Viridiplantae; Streptophyta; Magnoliopsida; Arecales; Arecaceae
Description: long non-coding RNA (EGUI_LNC039487)
Source: RNAcentral